UGGCGGACGGGUGAGCAACGCGUGGGUAACCUGCCUCAUACAGGGGGAUAACAGUUAGAAAUGACUGCUAAUACCGCAUAAGACCACGGAGCCGCAUGGCUCAGUGGGAAAAACUCCGGUGGUAUGAGAUGGACCCGCGUCUGAUUAGGUAGUUGGUGGGGUAACGGCCUACCAAGCCGACGAUCAGUAGCCGACCUGAGAGGGUGACCGGCCACAUUGGGACUGAGACACGGCCCAA
This 238-nucleotide ribosomal RNA is filed under the name uncultured bacterium. RNAcentral's name for it is "partial 16S ribosomal RNA". It matches the Rfam family "Bacterial small subunit ribosomal RNA", at positions 96 to 334 of the family's 1533-position model. The record is from RNAcentral.